GCGUGGAUGAUGAAGGCCUUCGGGUCGUAAAAUCCUUUUCUGGGGGAAGAGGAAGGACGGUACCUCAGGAAUAAGUCUCGGCUAGCUAUGUGCCAGCAGCCGCGGUAAGACAUAGGAGGCAAGCGUUAUCCGGAUUUACUGGGCGUAAAGGGCGUUGAGGCGGUCUUGUAAGUUGGACGUGAAAGCUCCUGGCUCAACUAGGAGAGGCCGUUCAAUACUGCGAGACUUGAGGACAGCAGAGGGGGGUGGAAUUCCCGGUGUAGUGGUGAAAUGCGUAGAGAUCGGGAGGAACACCAGUGGCGAAGGCGGCCCCCUGGGCUGCUCCUGACGCUGAAUGCGAAAGCUAGGGUAGCAAACGGGAUUAGAAACCCCGGUAGUCCUAGCCGUAAACGAUGGAUACUAGGUGUGGGGGGGUUAGAUACCCUCUGUGCCGGAGCUAACGCGGUAAGUAUCCCGCCUGGGGACUACGGUCGCAAGGCUAAAACUCAAAGGAAUUGACGGGGGUCCGCACAAGCAGCGGAGCGUGUGGUUUAAUUCGAUGCAACGCGAAGAACCUUACCAGGGCUUGACAUGCAAGUAGUAGUGAAGCGAAAGCGGAACGAUCCUUCGGGAAGGUUGCUCAGGUGCUGCAUGGCUGUCGUCAGCUCUUGCCGUGAGGCGUUAGGUUAAGUCCUGUAUCGAGCGCAACCCUUGCCGUUAGUUACAAGUGUCUAACGGGACCGCCCGGCUCAACUGGGAGGAAGGUGGGGAUGACGUUAAAUCAGCAUGGUCUUUUUGUCCUGGGGUA
This 787-nucleotide ribosomal RNA is filed under the name uncultured organism. RNAcentral's name for it is "bacterial SSU rRNA". It matches the Rfam family "Bacterial small subunit ribosomal RNA", at positions 399 to 1216 of the family's 1533-position model. The record is from RNAcentral.